RNAcentral lists this ribosomal RNA (498 nucleotides) under uncultured bacterium. Its description in RNAcentral is "bacterial SSU rRNA". It matches the Rfam family "Bacterial small subunit ribosomal RNA", at positions 393 to 904 of the family's 1533-position model. The record is from RNAcentral.
CAUACCGCGUGAGGGAUGACGGCCUAUGGGUUGUAAACCUCUUUUUUCAGGGAGGAAUAAAUGACGUGUACCUGAAGAAUAAGCAUCGGCUAACUCCGUGCCAGCAGCCGCGGUAAGACGGAGGAUGCAAGUGUUAUCCGGAAUCACUGGGCGUAAAGCGUCUGUAGGUGGUUUAAUAAGUCAACUGUUAAAUCUUGAGGCUCAACCUCAAAAUCGCAGUCGAAACUGUUAGACUAGAGUAUAGUAGGGGUAAAGGGAAUUUCCAGUGGAGCGGUGAAAUGCGUAGAGAUUGGAAGGAACACCGAUGGCGAAGGCACUUUACUGGGCUAUUACUAACACUCAGAGACGAAAGCUAGGGUAGCAAAUGGGAUUAGAUACCCCAGUAGUCCUAGCUGUAAACAAUGGAUACUAGAUGUUGAACAGAUCGACCUGUGCAGUAUCAAAGCUAACGCGUUAAGUAUCCCGCCUGGGAAGUAUGCUCGCAAGAGUGAAACUCAA